UAACUCGUCAUUAGUCUCUCUUAAGCAACAUGUUUAUCCCCUCCUAACCGCAGCUAAUACUUUAUUAGUGGUGGCUUUUUUCUCAAUGCAACCGACACAUUUUACUUCGACUUAAUUGAGUUAAUUCAUUGGGCGCUAAAGCGGUAAAAGAAUUACCGCCACCUCCCUUCCAUUAAACGCUAAAACCUCAAUAAAACAAAACAAAACAAAACCAACAACACACACUAUAACAUUAACACAAACCAAAGCAUGCAUUAGCAUUCUUCCUUCAUCCAUCUUCAUGGAUUACACCCAUCUGCUUCUUCUUCUCUUCUUCUUAUUCUUUGGUGUGGGAUUCUCGGAGAACACGAAUCCGAGGUUGCUGGCGUCACCAUCAUUAUUAUCAACGACUCAGAUAAACUCGAACUCGAUCCUUGUGGCUCUUCUGGACUCCCAUUACACAGAGCUCGCGGAGCUCAUAGAAAAAGCCAUGCUCCUUCAAACACUCGAAGAAGCAGUAGCCACACACAACAUCACAAUCUUCGCACCCACCAACCAAGCCUUAGAAUCAAACCUUGAUUCUUUCUUCAAACGCUUCCUUCUCGAACCAGCUAAUCUCCAUUCCCUCCAAGCCCUCAUUCUCUUCCACAUCCUCCCAACCCGAAUUUCAUCCCAAUAUAGUUUCGGGUCGACCCGAAUCAACACGCUAUCGUCCGAACCCAUUCGCCUCCAGACGAAUUCCACCUCCAAAGAAUGGACAGUCGAUCGGGUCAAGAUAACCCGGCCCGAUGAUGUUACCCGGCCCGAUGGUAUCAUCCAUGGGGUUAACGGCCUUCUCAUUCCACGUUCCGUACAAGACGACUUCAACCGCCGCCGCAGUCUUCGCUCGAUUGCCGCCGUGAAACCCGAGCCAGCUCCUGAAAUCGAUCCGAGAACCAACCGGGUUAAGAAGCUCGACCCGAAAGAAAAGCCUCCGGGCUCAAAACCCUCACUCCCGAUCUAUGAGGCGCUGGCACCGGGACCGUCACUAGCUCCGGCGUCGGCACCGGCACCUGGAGGCCACCACGGGCACUUCGAUGGCGAGUCUCAGGUGAGGGACUUCAUCCACACGCUAAUCCACUACGGAGGGUACAACGAGAUGGCGGACAUUCUCGUAAACCUAACGUCACUGGCCACGGAGAUGGGACGCUUGGUGUCAGAGGGUUACGUCCUCACCGUCCUUGCGCCGAACGACGAGGCUAUGGCCAAGCUUACGACGGAGCAGCUCAGUGAACCGGGGGCACCGGAGCAGAUAAUGUACUACCAUCUGAUACCGGAGUACCAAACAGAAGAGAGCAUGUACAAUUCUGUUAGAAGGUUCGGGAAGGUUAGGUACGAUACGCUGCGGUUGCCGCAUAAGGUGGUGGCGAUGGAGGCUGAUGGUUCGGUGCGGUUCGGAAAAGGUGGCGGUUCGGCUUAUUUGUUCGAUCCUGAUAUAUAUACCGAUGGAAGAAUCUCUGUUCAGGGGAUUGACGGGGUUUUGUUUCCGACGGAGGAAGGAGAGGAGACGGUGACGGGUCGGGUCAAGAACGGCAAUCGGACGGGUCAACCCGUUAAGGUCGUUGUCAAGCAUAGAAGAGGAAAAUUGCUUGAAGCAGCAUGCUGGAUGCUUGGAACCGUCGGUCAACAUUCUAGAUUCGCCUCUUGUCAAUGAAGCCAACCUUUGCCCUCUCCUUUGGCUAUCAAGAUUGUUUCAAACUAGAAACUGCACAGGAUUGAUCAAAGAUGUAAAGUCACUAAGGUGAAGGCCUUCUUGAAUGGAUGAUAGCCAGCUGCUAUGAGUGUGAAUUUCCAACAGUUUUGUUUUGCCAUUUCCUCUUUUCUCCUAUUGGAUUUGGGUUCAGGCUUCUAUCUAGUCUCCUUGUCACACAUUAUAGUGCAGAUUUGUAUCUAUAUUCAAUCCAAUUUCAUAGGUGGUUGUGUUGGUGGGAUUUAAAGGCUGUUUUCGUUUUCUGUUCAACAGGGCAUGGAAUUUUCUAGUAGACAUGUGUUGGUUCAAAACUUUACUAAAGAAAUGGAAAUACAGUCAAAAGCAAAUAAGAAAAAAAAAUUAUGAUUCUUUACUGUCAUGA
This is a non-coding RNA of Arachis ipaensis, 2090 nucleotides long. The record is from RefSeq and is a predicted model, not a curated record. Lineage: Eukaryota; Viridiplantae; Streptophyta; Magnoliopsida; Fabales; Fabaceae.